UGGUGAAAGCAGAAAGGGUGUGUGCU
This 26-nucleotide non-coding RNA is filed under the name Homo sapiens (human). Lineage: Eukaryota; Metazoa; Chordata; Mammalia; Primates; Hominidae. The record is from RNAcentral.